This is an RNA transcript of Cucurbita maxima (winter squash), 2258 nucleotides long. It is a transcript of the gene named probable Histone-lysine N-methyltransferase ATXR5, with no coding region annotated. The record is from RefSeq and is a predicted model, not a curated record. NCBI's taxonomy places the organism in Eukaryota, Viridiplantae, Streptophyta, Magnoliopsida, Cucurbitales, Cucurbitaceae. The transcript is spliced from 7 exons.
AAUUUAUUCUUUCCCAUAUAAAGUGUUCAAACGUUGAACCGGAACCUAAUGAGUAAACAAAUUUGUUUACCUGUUGGAUGAUAUGAAUGACUUAAAAAGAUAAAAAUUGUAAGCGUUGUUAGGAGUAAAAUUGGGUGGAGGGUCCAGAAGAUGAUGGGCGGUGUUGGUGAAGUUUGGAGUUUGUGUUGUGACAAUGAAUUGAGAAUUGAUAGGGUAUGCGCAUGGAGAUGGUGCAAAUAAGAUUGAUUCAUGAUUUCAUUAUAAAUAAAGCAUAAUUUAAGAUGCCCCCAAAAUUGAACAUCCAAAGCAAAGAAUAUCAGGAAGUUUAAAGCGCCUGGAUUCUGGUUUGCUCCUCUGCUUCAGUUUGGCAUCAAAUUCCGUGCGCCACAACGAUUUCAUUACCUAAUCCAAUCCCAAUCUUCCACCUCACUGCAACGCCAUUUUCAUCGUCCUCAUGACUCCGGCUUUGUCCUCCUCCUCCUCCUCCGCCGCCGCCUCCCAGCGGCUUAUCCGCUGCACUGCUUCGCUGUGGCGAACUCACGCGCCCCACCGCUCUCCCUCGAUGUCUCCUCCGCCGAGGAAGCUGAAACUAAUGGCGGAGAUAAUGGUCAAGGCUAAGUAUGCGGUUCUCGAACGGGACGAUUACGACGACGUCAGGUGUGAGAAAUGUCUCUCCGGCGACCGGGACGAUGAGCUGCUGUUGUGUGACAAAUGCGACAAGGGAUUUCAUAUGAAAUGUGUGAGUCCGAUCGUUGCUAGGGUCCCGAUUGGAUCCUGGCUUUGCCCCAAAUGCUGUGGCCAAAAAAGAGUAAGAAGUUUUUCUCAGAAGAAGAUUAUCGAUUUUUUCCGAAUUCAGAAAUGUAAAGACGCAGAAUCUCUAUAUCUAUCCGCUCAAGCUAUAAAGCAUAGGAGACGACUACGGUCAUUGGUGUGGCAGAAGAAAAGGAGAAGAUUACUAUCAUUUCUUCCAAGUGAAGAUCCUGAUCGCAGAUUGAAACAGAUGGGUUCACUUGCUGCAGCUUUAACAACAUUGCAAAUGGAGUUCAGUGAUGAUCUGACAUAUUUGCCGGGCAUGGCUUCAAGAUCUGCUAACCAGGCAGAGCUUGAAGAUGGUGGAAUGCAGGUUCUUUCCAAAGAGGAUAUUGAGACUUUUGAACUCUGCAGAACCAUGAGCAGAAGAGGCGAAUGUGCUCCCCUUUUGGUAGUUUUUGAUUCCUGUGAAGGUUUUACUGUACAAGCCGAUGAUCAAAUUAAGGAUAUGACUUUUAUUGCUGAAUAUACUGGUGAUGUCGAUUAUCUUACAAACCGCGAACACGAUGAUUGUGAUAGUAUGAUGACCCUUCUUUCAGCCAAACAUCCAUCUAGAAGUCUUGUCAUCUGCCCUGACACACAUGGAAACAUUGCUCGCUUCAUCAAUGGAAUAAAUAAUCAUACUCCAGAAGGUAAGAAGAAACAGAACUGUAAAUGUGUGAGAUACAAUGUUAAGGGCGAAUGCCGUGUGAUUUUGGUUGCGAUUCGGGAUAUUGCUAAAGGGGAGAGGCUUUAUUAUGACUACAACGGAUAUGAGUAUGAAUACCCCACCCAUCAUUUUCUCUGAGAAUUUCUUAGGAUAAGUCUAACAACUUUGGGAUCUGAUUUGUGUGUCCCAUACAGUUUUUUCACCAUUUUUCCUUCUUCUUCUGCUGAAUCUUGUUGCAAAGUCAACAGUUUUUGCUGAUUCUACCAAAGUAAUUUGUAUUGCAUACCCUCGGCCGAGGUCGAGGCUCGGACCAACCAGGCCAGGGAGGGGGUGGGGGAAGUUUUGGUAGUGAAGGAUGAAGUUGUGUUAGGAUCUCGUUCGUUUGUUGCGAAAUGAUAUACGAAACCAACAAGUUGGAAGAAUAUAUAAGUGAAGAUUGAAAACCAUUAAGUUCGAAAUGGUUGUCUUGUUCGUAUGGUAUGUUUGAGCCUGGUCUUGGAAGGAGACUAUUAUUACAUCGCUAAAGAGAGUUCAGACGAGAGGCGAAAGAGUUGCACCAAAGAAACAACAAAGGGAGUUCCCUUUGUUUGAAGAAACCUUCAUUCAAAAUGGGGGACCAAAGGCUUGCGCCUAAGAAAAAACAUCUUUUGGCCUUGUUGGUUAUGAAGCUUCUAAAUGUUUCAUUUUCACCCCUUAUCCCUCGAUUAAUUCUCUUUUGGGAUUUUAUUUUAGCUGAAAUUACAUAUUUACCACAAUAUUUUGUUUCAACAUUAUCAUGAAUGAGCAAGCCCAAUUGAAA